Ictalurus punctatus (channel catfish) is the source of this 865-nucleotide long non-coding RNA. RefSeq lists it as uncharacterized. The record is from RefSeq and is a predicted model, not a curated record. The transcript has 3 exons. NCBI's taxonomy places the organism in Eukaryota, Metazoa, Chordata, Actinopteri, Siluriformes, Ictaluridae.
UGAAACACUGGUAAAACAUUUCAUCUGCUGCUCUUAUGAGAAAAGCUGCAUGCUGGAAAGUUGUUUGUGUUUUUGUUUUGGUUGCACAUUAGCCAAACCUGGCACAGGUUAUUCAAUAACUUUACAAUUAUAAACAUAAAGGUUAUCUGGGUAAUGUAUAAUGGUUAUUGUUGCUCUAUGAUUAAGCAUAUGCAUUGCUGAAAGAUCACCUGAAGAUCAGAUAUUAUACCCGCUGCUGAUUACAGGCCUGCAGGAUGUUUGCAUAUGGAGUGUACAGUGGGCAAGCAUCAGUCUUUUAGUACACAUUCUUGACCCCCAGCCAUACCAAACAACACAGUGAAAAGGGAAAUGCCAUUGCUUAUUCUGAGGAAUCAAAUACCUUCAGUUUUGCUUAUCUUUUAUCACACUGUGAAAAAAGGAGUUAAUGGAAAAGCUGGACAAGGGUGAAGGCUUUCUCAUGAACCCCAAAUACAUGUUUGAGUGGCUUCAUGGAAAAGCAGACGUCUGUGAGGAGUCCUUGAUCUAGAAAGGAAGGUGUGAGGACACGGAUCAAUACAAGGCAGGUGAAAGUCCACCACUCUAAUCUUUAAUAUAGUAUUUGCUCUUUGGUCCAAGUCUCAAACCUUAGGGCUUCCAUCUCAAUUCUCCUUCAAUAAAAGUGUCUGAAUACAUAUUUUAAAGGACAUUUUUCAACCUUUAAACGCAUUUAAAUCAUCUUCAUUUAAAAUUGGAAAUUAACAGAAGGUAUAAGAAUUAUGACAUGCUUAAAACAAAGAAAGUAAAUAUUCAUUAUCCUGAUUAUUUAAUAUUCAGCGCCGCACUAUUUUAGGUCCCUAUUUAAAUAUUUGUGAUAUUGACCAUAUCA